Molecule: long non-coding RNA, 5322 nt
Organism: Cyprinus carpio carpio
Lineage: Eukaryota; Metazoa; Chordata; Actinopteri; Cypriniformes; Cyprinidae
Source: Ensembl
AAUGACAAAGCCAAAAUUCAGGCCUUGCCCAAGCUGCCAAGUCCGUCAGCAGGCCAACCGCAAAACAUGCAGUGCUUGUUUUGCCACACUGCCAAGCAAGCGGUUAUUAAAAACUGCAAAAAUUUAUGAUGACUGGGGCCAGAGGGUCGUCAAAAACAAAAAUGCAUCUCGGGUGGUGGCCUCUGCCCAAAUAGCUGUCCAAAAACUUUCUGCCUUGGGCUAUAUGCCCAUAUUAUUUAUCAGCCAGAGGCACAAGGGCACAGGCAAGUUGAUGGCAGAUGUAGUCACGCAUCUGCCACCGACGCAAAACAACACACGUUUCUUAACCAGCAUGAAGAGGGCAUAUGACUUCAUAAUCAAACUGGAUGAUGUGCCCCAGCCCCAGCCCCAGCAAGACCAGCCCCUGCCCCUAGACCGGCUAAUCCCACAAGACCAGCCCCUGUCCCUAGACCAGCUAAUCCCACAAGACCAGCCCCAGAAAGACCAGCCCCUGCCCCUAGACCAGCUAAUCCCACAAGACCAGCCCCAGAAAGACCAGCCCCUGCCCCUAGACCAGCUAAUCCCACAAGACCAGCCUACCCCAACAGACCAGCAAAUUAUUACACUUGAACUAUUUACGAUCGACUCUCAGGCUCAGCAGCAUGUGGAGCCUCUACCACCCAGGAAAAGACAAACCCCACUAUCCACCCCGCGCCUACCAUCCACCCCAGGCCAAGGCAAACGAGCCCCACCAUCCAUCCAACCUCAACUAAAGAAAAGACAAAGUAAGUAAUCUUGCCUUGCACCCCAUCUGUAAAUUGGUCCCAUGGUCCAACCAAACUUUUUUUUGCCUUUGUCAUUUAAGGUUGCAAAUGCAGUCGACAGACAAUUUAUCCAUACGAUAAAAUAUUGGGAAGACGGAUGAAUGGGGUAAGAUGUAGAACCAUAUUUUCCAUUAGGCUGUCUGAUUAUCUCUUGACUCAUGUCUGUCUCAUCUUUCAAUCCACAUGUGACAAAACAGUAACACUGAGCAGUAGGUAUCAAACUUUUUCAACUAUCAACCCUCUCACAAGUGCUACCCCUUAUGAAAAAAAAGUAUACUUCAAGUUAAUUUUAUGAAGUAUACUUAAGUAAUGUUCAAGUAUAUUUUUAAGUAUACUUUAUGUAGUAAUUAUACUAGUAUCAAUGUGUACUUGUAGUAGACUUGUAAGUGUACUAUUUCAAUACUGCUUGGGGCUAAAUUGGCCCACUUUUAGUAUAAAAGUAUACGUUUAAGUGUACUAAAAGUGUAAACUUUAAGUACACAACUAGGUUUCUCAUUUUUAAUGCAUCUUUACUACAAGUGAACUUAUAAGUAUACUAGUAGUUUACUAUUUUAAUACAAGUAGUAAAUUUUUUAGUUAUGAAAGUACACACUGAAGUGUACUCUCAGUAAACUGCUAGUAUACUUGUAAGUUUUCUUUAAGUGAACAUAACAUUAUACUAUUUAUAUAUUAUUUUGCACUUGCAGUAUACUACUAUGUUCAAAUGUAGAUAUUAUUUUUUAUACUUGAAAAAUACAUUUAACUGUACUUUAAUUUUAAUGACAUUUUAUUAGCUUCAUGCUUUCUUUUUUAUCAACACUUGUCGGUUAUUUUCAUAAAGGCAACAUUUUAAACAAAGAAGCUGAGAAAAUCACAUUUUUGUCAAAGACUGCGCCUUGAUCAGAUUCAGAAUGGUGAUCAAAACACAGAUGGAGUAGAUCAAGUCCAACAACCCCAAAGCUUCACAGUCGUUUUCUCUUCAUGUGUUGCGCUUCAUUUCAUUUGGUAAUAUUAAGCAUUUUUGAAUUACAAGCUGUUUAAUAUUUGAUGAUCACAUUAUUUUACAUUUGCGUGAGUAAUCUACUAUCACUUGGUUCAGCUUCUUCUUCUCCUGUGUUUUGAUCCGGAGUUUCUGUACUAGAAGAUGUGUCAUAGCGCAUCCUACCGUAUAACAGUGAAAACAUGGAUAGCUGGAAAAUUCAGUCAAUGGUGGGGAAAGAGUAAAGUAGAAUUAAAGUAAAUUCCGAUGUACCGAUGCCAGUGGACUAGCCUAGACAAAUUUCAGAUAUGCAGAAUUAGAAACAUAUCUGUUUUAUAUCAAUAUUCUAAACAAUAUUUUCACAAGUUUCAUAAGACUGUAUAUGAAACUAUGUAAAAAAAGUUUAUUUAAUAGGCUACUCGAUCAAAACCAUUUGAAUACUUUGAAUACUUAAUUAUACUUUUAAGUAUAUCUCGAUCAAAAGAUAGAGUACAAGUAAAGGCCAAAUAUAAUUGGACUUUUCUCUCAGUAUAAGUCAAGUACACUUAAGUGUAAUUAAUUGUAUUUCUACGAAGUACAUAAAGUAUGUUUUUGAGAAUUAUAAAAUUUAGACUUAAAGUAUACUUUCUUAUUGUUUGUUUAAAAUAAGUAUACUAAUAGAAAACUUGAAUUAAAUUCUUUUUCGUAAGGGACAUACUGUAAAUCCUAAACAAAAACAACAAUUGCAAAUGGAGUGCAAGAUAUUCUUAUUUUUUAUUGAGCUUUCAAAAAAUACAUAAGUACUAUUGUCAACUAAAUGAUGUUCCAAGUAAGAACGCCAGAAUAGAGAGCUAAGUAAAAACAUUAUUUGAAUGGUAAAAUCAUUACAGUUACUUCACUAAACUGAUUAAGUGUGUGUGUCUGUGUGUGUCUCUCUGUGUGUGUGUGUGUGUGUGUGUGUGUGUGUGUGUGUGUGUGUGUGUGUGUGUGUGUGUGUGUGUGUGUGUGUGUGUUUGUGUGUGCAGGGGAAGGCAGCAGAGGUCAAAGUGCACUGGCUACCUUGCUCUUCCUGGUAAGUGAUGGCUGAUGUAAUUUAAUCCAUAGUUGCACACAGUCUUAGUGUUUUAAAACCUGGUCCCUUUCAGCCUUCAAAGUGAACUUUGAAGUGAAAGUGAAAGUGGGACUGAUAAUUGUUUUGGGCACAAGGAACUAUCUAAGCAUUCUAGGAUCCCUUUUAAAGUGAACUGAACUGAGACCGCAUGAGAACGUGCACACCAGCCUUCAAGUAGUCAUCUGGCUCAAGUUUGGUCAUAUGACAUCUGAAGCAAAUACAUUCUAACCUGUUUGCCCUAUACAUUUGCUAAUUCUAUUUUGUUUAUUUGGGUUAUUUUAUACAGUGUUUGCCAAACAGCAGUUAUUUUUACAAAGUGAAACCUCCCAUUAUGAACCAAAUGUAGUCCAAUUUAAAUGGCCUGUGAGGUGGACUGAACCAAAAACAACUCUUGUCUCUUUGUGUUCACAUAAUGAGUUCACUUAAAGAUGAUGCAGAUCACUUUCUAGUCCACUUCAGCUCUGAUGGGGUCUUAAGCCCAAUUCAUAGUUACAUGUAGAUGCGACGCAGAUGCCUUUGUUGUGCCAUUGCAUCUUUGCUGACCCCCUCUGCGGCCGACAUAGAGGCCUUUAACCACAUCAGUUCUGUGCCCAUCCCGUUGUGGUGAGUAUUUGCAUAGCGACACGGUUAACCCGAUGCAGAACUUCAAAGUGUUGACUGUAGGGAUGACUGUGUCCAAGCGACUGAGUCCAGUACUUUUCACAUGGAACAAAAUGACUGCUGCUUGACAAACGCCAUAUAAAAUAAACCAAAAGAAAUUAUCCAACAGAAAAAGGGUAAACCUUUAUUUUUCAGCUUCAGAUGACAUAUCUUCAAACUUGAGCCAGAAGACUAGUUGUGAGCUGUAGGCUGUACUGUAUAUGCUGUGUGUAAGAUGACUUUUGGACUAUUUACAGUGGCAGAGUCUGGGAGGACACCUGGGAGCCGGCCAGCAAAUUCGCCUGAUGACCAAUACUGUUGUACUAUUUGUUUUGUAUAUAUUUGUCAAUAAUUAAAUUCACUAUUGUUACAUUUUAUGAUUUGUCUGUCAAUCAAUGACUGCACUGAAUAAUUAAUGUGUCAUGACUUUGUGCUGUAUUUGAUGGGAAAAGUGAGAUAGCUGAAAGUUGCAUGUAGUGACAGUCAAGUCAAGUCACCUUUAUUUAUAUAGCACUUUUUAUAAUACAGAUUGUUUCAAAGCAGCUUCACAGUGAUAACAUGAAAAUAAUACAACAAAGUUUCUUUCUAGAAGAAAAUUACAUCCUCGUCCACCUUAAGGCAGAUUAGCAAGCCAAACUAAGCAACUAAGCAAGCCAAAAGCCAAGGCAACCAGAACAAGUACCAAAUUGGCAUUAUACUAACUGAUCAUGAAAAUUUUAGUUAGUAUUGAUGGUAAUUUUGGAGCAAAGUAAAUGGGCUCCUAUCCAUGGUGACAGAUGCCUCCCGCAUUAGGAUGUAUUACUGAAUCCUUUUUUACCUCUGAUCGCUAGCACACAACACUUUGUUUUUGUUAUCAUGGUUGUCUGUUCAGAACAAUUAUGAGAGUUCUUAAGACAUUUCAAACAUUCCCAAUGAAGAGAAGAGGCACAUUUAUAAAUUUUCAUCAAUGGUACAUGGGUCAGCAAUGAUUUUUCAGGUCAGGAAAGAACUAUGACAAAAAAUAUGAAAGUGAAUUGAAAUCACACAGCGUCUGAAGCGCCACUCAGGCCAUUUUUUCAUAUCCUUUGCCUCAUACAAAGACAGAUUGGUGUCAAAUUUCACAAAUAAUUUCCUCAUCCUCUGUGUCAACAAUCAACAUACAGUAUGUGCAUGACAUAAGGUGAUCAGACUUCAGAGAUCAGAAAGACUGGAGACAUGAGCCUGAGAAAUCGUUAAAGCCAGGAACAAUUCCAGCUUGGCCAUCAAUAUAAUUUAAAAGUCUAAUGUUUUCUUGUCAUAAAACCAGGGAGAGAGGUAGGUUUCCUAUGUUUCCCUGACAAUAGGGAACAUGCCAGGACACUGAGGACAUCAAUCUGGUCACCCUGGAAUGACUUGACUGUGGGCGGUUUACUAAGGCCUAUGACAGUGGUAGGAAAUCUAAGGCCUGGUUGUGCAAUGUGGGCCACAUGUGGCCUGAUGUGCUGUUUAAUCUGGCCAAUGUCUUCAUGAUCAAAGGCCUCUGGUCUUAAUUGUCAGGAAAAUGUUGCAUUAUUCAUGAAAUAUACUCAGUCCCCACUUAUUCUAACCCUAACCCUAACUCUAUCUUUAUUCUCCAUGCCAAGUAUGAGCUCUUAUCCUCAGGCAUAGGAUAUAGGGGACCCAAAUGUAAACUAAAUAUUUCUAAACUAUAGGCCUAAUUUAAACCUACCUCAAUUAAAAUUUUAAAUAAUGUUGCUUGAGGCUGCAGCGGUUGUGCAAUUGCUUCAUGAUAUAAUGCAUAUAGGGUUGUGUGUAGGUUGAAAGAUGAGCAAUAGACUGUGGCUUUGAUGCGCUUCACUCUGGCUACAUAUCGC